AGUGAACGCUGGCGGUAGGCCUAACACAUGCAAGUCGAACGGCAGCACGGUAAGAGCUUGCUCUUACGGGUGGCGAGUGGCGGACGGGUGAGGAAUACAUCGGAAUCUACUUUUUCGUGGGGGAUAACGUAGGGAAACUUACGCUAAUACCGCAUACGACCUACGGGUGAAAGCAGGGGAUCUUCGGACCUUGCGCGAUUGAAUGAGCCGAUGUCGGAUUAGCUAGUUGGCGGGGUAAAGGCCCACCAAGGCGACGAUCCGUAGCUGGUCUGAGGGGAUGAUCAGCCACACUGGAACUGAGACACGGUCCAGACUCCUACGGGAGGCAGCAGUGGGGAAUAUUGGACAAUGGGCGCAAGCCUGAUCCAGCCAUACCGCGUGGGUGAAGAAGGCCUUCGGGUUGUAAAGCCCUUUUGUUGGGAAAGAAAAGCAGCAGGUUAAUACCCCGCUGUUCUGACGGUACCCAAAGAAUAAGCACCGGCUAACUUCGUG
This 492-nucleotide ribosomal RNA is filed under the name uncultured bacterium. RNAcentral describes it as "partial 16S ribosomal RNA". It matches the Rfam family "Bacterial small subunit ribosomal RNA", at positions 29 to 507 of the family's 1533-position model. The record is from RNAcentral.